RNAcentral lists this long non-coding RNA (2071 nucleotides) under Gossypium barbadense (sea-island cotton). Its description in RNAcentral is "long non-coding RNA (GBAR_LNC005902)". Lineage: Eukaryota; Viridiplantae; Streptophyta; Magnoliopsida; Malvales; Malvaceae. The record is from RNAcentral.
UAUUAUUAUUAUUUUCAAACAAUAUUGUAAUGGCCCAAUUUGGCCUGGCCCAUAUUACAAACAAAUAAAACAAAAAUAAACCAAAAAAUAAAGACCAAGUCAGAAAACAGCCUAUUUACAAUAUGACCCAAUGGCCCAAGUAAAUAAAAAACUCUAAUUGCCCAAAUGACCCAAAAAAACCUAAACAUCUUCAAUAAACAAAAGAAACCCUCGCCUCCUUUGUGCGCCGCACCCCCUCCACGUGCCGCGUCAGCGCCCCAUCGCCCGAGGACUGCCUCCCUUGCACCAAAAUGGCAAGGGUCAGCCUUUCUCCUCCAUUGACCUUACCUGCAAGAACAAAAAAUAGAAACGAAAGCAAGCAAAACAGAAGCAAUACAGAUAUCAGAGAAGCAGCAAAAAUAGUAGUGAAAAAAGCAUAAAAUAUUGUAUCUAUUCGGCUAUAAAAGCCAGAAACAUAUCAAUGUAAUUUUUUAUACGGAGAUAUAUAUACACAAAAAAAAAAAAGCUUUUGAAAUCGAUUAAAUAUUGCAAGGUGCUUCAUCCUCAUCUUUAAUUUUUUUUUCUUUUCUUCCAGAAAUAAAUAAAUAAUAAAAACAAAAAAGGGAACUUUUUCACCUAUUGUUCCAUCGUUGAAGCCACCGUCAAUUUGCGAGGUUGUCGGAUCCUUUAGGAUUCGGCCAAAGGCCGCAGCGGAAGUUGAGGAGUUUUUGUUGUUUUUUUAUUUUAUUUUGGCUUUAUUUUUUUGCCAAUUUCAAGUCCAAAAAGGGGUUUUAUGCAAAAAUAAAAUAAAAAUAAUAGGGGUUUGGGUGAUUUUUCGGCUACUGUGGACGGCGGCGCCUUCACCGGUGACCGAUGGCCAACACAGUGGCGACUUGCCGGACCGACGGUUGGCCAAGGAUUGGUUCAGAGAAAAAAUAGAGAGCUUUGGUUUCUUUCUUCUUCUUUUUUUAACUAUUUUGAAAUGAAAUUUUUUUGAAAAAAAUUUCACUUAUAUAGGCUCCAAAAACGGCGUCAUUUUGGGACUAGCCUCAAACGCCCAAAACGGCGUCGUUCUACCCUCGACCCGCACCUUGACCUGAUCCGCCCAGUGGAUCCGCAUGUUUUUUUUUGCUAAUGGUCUAUUUGCGCGAUAGGCCAUUUUGCUUUUCCGCCCUGUUUCAAUUUAAUCCUGUUUCUUUUUUUUCUUUUUUUUACCAUGUGAUUUUGGCUUUGUUUCAUUUUAGUCCAACAUGAAACUGUGCGUUUGUAAGACUGGAAAUAAUUUCCCAUUUAAUCCCUCCUCCUUUGCACACGUUUCGUUUUGGUCCUAACACCAGUUUUUUUUUCCUUUUUUAAAAUUAUCCAUUUAAGUUUAUUUUUUUAUUUCGGUCCUUUAACCAUUUAGUCCCUUAUUAUUUAUAUUUUUUAUUUUAAAUACUUUUGUAUUUUUAUUUUAGUAUUUUAUUUACUUCUUUUAUAUAGUUUUACGCUUUUAAGUUCAUUUUAAUCCCGAUUUAGUCAUUUAUUUAAUCUCAGCCCUUUUUUAUGGAUUUUUUUAUCUUAUUAUUAUUUGUUUAUUUAUCCAUUAAUUUUUAUUGUCUUGCCUUUUUUUAUUUUUAAAACUUAUUCUAUUUAUAUUUGUACAUAUUAUUAUAUUGUCAUCUCAUUUUAUUUUAUUUUAUUUUAUUUUCAUUUCAUUUUAUGUGUUAUUUUAUGGUUCCCUUUUAUUUUGGUAUUUUUGAGUCGCGACUUUCCAUUCACGUUAUUUCGUUUAUUUUAUUUUACGCUACUUCUGCUAUUUAUUUAGAUUAUGAUAUUAUUAUUAAAGUACACCCUUAGUCAUUUAUGUUUUAUCAUUCCAAUAUUCUAUCUAUAUAGUCAUUUUAUAUUGAUUCAUCAAUCACUACAUCAUAUGUUAUAUUUAGAUAUAAUUAGUUGUUUUUAUGUUAUACCCCAAAAUAAGAGAAAUACACAUCGUUUAAAUAUUAUACUUGUUAUUAGUAAAAAAAAUUCAAAAUAAAGCAAUAUUCCGUAUUUGGAGAUUCGAGAAGCCGUACCCUAACUUACGGGGUUUUGAUUUUUCUCGUUGAAC